RNAcentral lists this ribosomal RNA (253 nucleotides) under uncultured bacterium. RNAcentral's name for it is "partial 16S ribosomal RNA". It matches the Rfam family "Bacterial small subunit ribosomal RNA", at positions 524 to 776 of the family's 1533-position model. The record is from RNAcentral.
GACAGAGGGUGCAAACGUUGUUCGGAAUUACUGGGCGUAAAGCGCGUGUAGGCGGUUCGGUAAGUCUGAUGUGAAAGCCCCGGGCUCAACCUGGGAAUGGCAUUGGAAACUGGCUAGCUGGAGUGUGGCAGAGGGGGGUGGAAUUCCGCGUGUAGCAGUGAAAUGCGUAGAGAUGCGGAGGAACACCGAUGGCGAAGGCAGCCCCCUGGGCCAACACUGACGCUCAGGCACGAAAGCGUGGGGAGCAAACAGG